Non-coding RNA from Panaeolus papilionaceus, 116 nucleotides. Lineage: Eukaryota; Fungi; Basidiomycota; Agaricomycetes; Agaricales. The record is from the annotation of a GenBank genome assembly.
GGCGCUAUAGCCAAGUGGUUACGGCGACAGAUUAGAAUGUUUUCAGAUCUUCACGAUCGGAAUUGCCUAUCAUCUGUUCCUCUUUGAGGGCGUAGGUUCAAAUCCUGCUGGCGUCG